GGGGUCGGUGUGGGGCUGUUGUGGGGCCUGCGGGAGUGGGGGCCGUGUGGGGCCUAUGUGGGACCUGCACGGGGCCUGUGUGGGACGUGCGGGGCCUGCGUAGGAUCCAUAUGGGGCCUGCGUGGCUGCAGGGCACGGGACCCCACCGCUGGCACUGUGGCUGCAGGUGAGUGUCCCCAUGGCACAAGGACGGGCUGUCCCCGUUCCCCACACCUCCGUGUACCCACUGUCAGUACCCGGCCGGGGUCCCCCGUGGGUCCCCCAGGUGGCCCAGCAACACGCUGGCAUCAGCCCUGUUUUCCCCUUUCUCCCCCCCCCGCUGCAUUUGACAAAC
Molecule: long non-coding RNA, 334 nt
Filed under: Gallus gallus (chicken)
Lineage: Eukaryota; Metazoa; Chordata; Aves; Galliformes; Phasianidae
Description: lncRNA (ENSGALG00010020789.1)
Source: RNAcentral